AUUGAACGCUGGCGGCAGGCUUAACACAUGCAAGUCGAGCGGUAACAGAGAGAAGCUUGCUUCUCUGCUGACGAGCGGCGGACGGGUGAGUAAUGCCUAGGAAUCUGCCUAGUAGUGGGGGAUAACUUGCCGAAAGGUAAGCUAAUACCGCAUACGUCCUACGGGAGAAAGGAGGGGACCUUCGGGCCUUUCGCUAUUAGAUGAUCCUAGGUCGGAUUAGUUAGUUGGUGAGGUAAUGGCUCACCAAGACCGCGAUCCGUAACUGGUCUGAGAGGGUGAUCAGUCACACUGGAACUGAGACACGGGCCAGACUCCUACGGGAGGCAGCAGUGGGGAAUAUUGGACAAUGGGGGGAACCCUGAUCCAGCCAUGCCGCGUGUGUGAAGAAGGUCUUAGGAUUGUAAAGCACUUUAAGUUGGGAGGAAGAGCAGUUAACUAAUAUUUGACUGUUUUGACGUUACCGACAGAAUAAGCACCGGCUAACUUCGUGCCAGCCGCCGCCGUAA
This 506-nucleotide ribosomal RNA is filed under the name uncultured bacterium. Its description in RNAcentral is "partial 16S ribosomal RNA". It matches the Rfam family "Bacterial small subunit ribosomal RNA", at positions 30 to 523 of the family's 1533-position model. The record is from RNAcentral.